UUAUAUGAGAGUUUGAUCCUGGCUCAGGAUGAACGCUGGCGGCGUGCCUAAUACAUGCAAGUCGAACGAGUUCUGAUUAUUGAAAGGUGCUUGCAUCUUGAUUUAAUUUUGAACGAGUGGCGGACGGGUGAGUAACACGUGGGUAACCUGCCCUUAAGUGGGGGAUAACAUUUGGAAACAGAUGCUAAUACCGCAUAAAUCCAAGAACCGCAUGGUUCUUGGCUGAAAGAUGGCGUAAGCUAUCGCUUUUGGAUGGACCCGCGGCGUAUUAGCUAGUUGGUGAGGUAACGGCUCACCAAGGCAAUGAUACGUAGCCGAACUGAGAGGUUGAUCGGCCACAUUGGGACUGAGACACGGCCCAAACUCCUACGGGAGGCAGCAGUAGGGAAUCUUCCACAAUGGACGCAAGUCUGAUGGAGCAACGCCGCGUGAGUGAAGAAGGCUUUCGGGUCGUAAAACUCUGUUGUUGGAGAAGAAUGGUCGGCAGAGUAACUGUUGUCGGCGUGACGGUAUCCAACCAGAAAGCCACGGCUAACUACGUGCCAGCAGCCGCGGUAAUACGUAGGUGGCAAGCGUUAUCCGGAUUUAUUGGGCGUAAAGCGAGCGCAGGCGGUUUUUUAAGUCUGAUGUGAAAGCCCUCGGCUUAACCGAGGAAGUGCAUCGGAAACUGGGAAACUUGAGUGCAGAAGAGGACAGUGGAACUCCAUGUGUAGCGGUGAAAUGCGUAGAUAUAUGGAAGAACACCAGUGGCGAAGGCGGCUGUCUGGUCUGUAACUGACGCUGAGGCUCGAAAGCAUGGGUAGCGAACAGGAUUAGAUACCCUGGUAGUCCAUGCCGUAAACGAUGAAUGCUAGGUGUUGGAGGGUUUCCGCCCUUCAGUGCCGCAGCUAACGCAUUAAGCAUUCCGCCUGGGGAGUACGACCGCAAGGUUGAAACUCAAAGGAAUUGACGGGGGCCCGCACAAGCGGUGGAGCAUGUGGUUUAAUUCGAAGCAACG
Molecule: ribosomal RNA, 997 nt
Filed under: Lacticaseibacillus rhamnosus
Lineage: Bacteria; Bacillati; Bacillota; Bacilli; Lactobacillales; Lactobacillaceae
Description: bacterial SSU rRNA
Rfam family: Bacterial small subunit ribosomal RNA
Source: RNAcentral